AGAGUUUGAUCCUGGCUCAGAGCGAACGCUGGCGGCGUGCUUAACACAUGCAAGUCGAGUGCGCAGUCUGCUGUAGCAAUACAGUAGAUCGGCGCACGGCACACGGGUGCGUAACACGUGGGCAACCUGCCCUCCAAAGGGGGAUAACCCGCCGAAAGGCGGGCUAAUACCGCAUGACAUUCCGGUAGCUUCGGCCGCCGGAAUCAAAGCCCGUAAGGGCGUUGGAGGAGGGGCCCGCGCCCGAUUAGCUUGUUGGCGAGGUAACGGCUCACCAAGGCUUUGAUCGGUAGCCGGUCUGAGAGGAUGGCCGGCCACACUGGAACUGAGACACGGUCCAGACUCCUACGGGAGGCAGCAGUGGGGAAUCUUGCGCAAUGGGCGAAAGCCUGACGCAGCGACGCCGCGUGGGGGAUGAAGCUUCUCGGAGUGUAAACCCCUUUCGACCCGGACGAAACGCCCGCAAGGGCUUGACGGUACGGGUAUAAGAAGCCCCGGCUAACUACGUGCCAGCAGCCGCGGUAAGACGUANGGGGCCAGCGUUGCUCGGAAUUACUGGGCGUUAAAGGGUUCGU
Molecule: ribosomal RNA, 572 nt
Filed under: uncultured Terriglobales bacterium
Lineage: Bacteria; Pseudomonadati; Acidobacteriota; Terriglobia; Terriglobales
Description: bacterial SSU rRNA
Rfam family: Bacterial small subunit ribosomal RNA
Source: RNAcentral